RNAcentral lists this ribosomal RNA (259 nucleotides) under uncultured bacterium. RNAcentral describes it as "partial 16S ribosomal RNA". It matches the Rfam family "Bacterial small subunit ribosomal RNA", at positions 95 to 354 of the family's 1533-position model. The record is from RNAcentral.
UUGGCGGACGGGUGAGUAACACGUGAGCAACCUGCCUUCGAGAGGGGAAUAACGGCUGGAAACGGUCGCUAAUACCGCAUAACAUACAGGAGGGACAUCCCUUUUGUAUCAAAGAUUUAUCGCUCGAAGAUGGGCUCGCGUCCGAUUAGGUAGUUGGUGAGGUAACGGCCCACCAAGCCGACGAUCGGUAGCCGGACUGAGAGGUUGAACGGCCACAUUGGGACUGAGACACGGCCCAGACUCCUACGGAAGGCAGCAG